Molecule: ribosomal RNA, 254 nt
Filed under: uncultured bacterium
Lineage: Bacteria
Description: partial 16S ribosomal RNA
Rfam family: Bacterial small subunit ribosomal RNA
Source: RNAcentral
UACGAAGGGGGCUAGCGUUGCUCGGAAUCACUGGGCGUAAAGCGCACGUAGGCGGCUUUUUAAGUCAGGGGUGAAAUCCUGGAGCUCAACUCCAGAACUGCCUUUGAUACUGGGAAGCUUGAGUUCGGGAGAGGUGAGUGGAACUGCGAGUGUAGAGGUGAAAUUCGUAGAUAUUCGCAAGAACACCAGUGGCGAAGGCGGCUCACUGGCCCGAUACUGACGCUGAGGCACGAAAGCGUGGGGGAGCAAACAGG